This 253-nucleotide ribosomal RNA is filed under the name uncultured bacterium. Its description in RNAcentral is "partial 16S ribosomal RNA". It matches the Rfam family "Bacterial small subunit ribosomal RNA", at positions 524 to 776 of the family's 1533-position model. The record is from RNAcentral.
UACGUAGGGGGCGAGCGUUGUCCGGAUUUAUUGGGCGUAAAGAGCGUGUAGGCGGCCAGGUAGGUCUGCUGUGAAAACUCGAGGCUCAACCUCGAGACGUCGGCGGAAACCAUCUGGCUAGAGUCCGGAAGAGGAGAGUGGAAUUCCUGGUGUAGCGGUGAAAUGCGUAGAUAUCAGGAGGAACACCGAUGGCGAAGGCAGCUACCUGGCCCUAUACUGACGCUGAGGUGCGAAAGCGUGGGGAGCGAACGGG